This 244-nucleotide long non-coding RNA is filed under the name Elaeis guineensis (African oil palm). RNAcentral's name for it is "long non-coding RNA (EGUI_LNC032649)". Lineage: Eukaryota; Viridiplantae; Streptophyta; Magnoliopsida; Arecales; Arecaceae. The record is from RNAcentral.
UCCGAUUGAUCCUCUCGUCCAUCGCUGGCAUCCCUUUUUCCUCCUCUUCUUUCUCCCUCUCUCCUUCCUUCUCAUCCAUUUCCCCUUCUCCCCUUCCUCCUCUUUCUCCCUUCUCAUUUCUUCUCCUCCCCUUUCUCCACCCAUUCCUCUAUCUCCUCUCCUUCUUCUCUUUCCAUUUCUCUUUCAUAUCUUCCUCCUCCAAGUCAUCCAUAAAUCAUUCUUCUCCAUGGUGGCCUCCGCCUCC